AUAACUCCGGCGGUAAGAAAAGUUAUUGGAAAAGCCAAAUGCGCCUGGCUCGGCAUCACCAAGCCUUGCAAGCAACGAAACAGGGAGCGUGGAAGUUUGCGUGCCGAUCGUCGCGUCCGCCUGUCCGAUCCGAUCGUACUGUUCAGAUAUCGCCGAUCGGGAUGAGAGCGCCUCCACGACACCCGUCGUCUUCUGGCCUCCAUGACCGUGGCACGAUUUCCGCUGACAUCCCUUCAAGCAAUCACUCUCCUUCCCCAAUUGCCUACUUAAACCCUACAACCCCCCCUUGGAUCCUCCGUGCUCUCGAUCCCACCCUCACCCCUUCUACUCUGAUUUCUUGGCUCAUAGAUUGUUUGUUCGCUCUGCUGGUCGGGAAUCGCUGCAUCAGUCUCUGGGAUUGGAGGGGGUGAGAACACAAUGGGUCAUCAAGCAGCAUCUUCCACUGCCGUGACUUAUGCUCUGCUUCUGCUUUGUGCUAUUCAUCAUUGCUUUGCUUAUGAAUUGAAGGCAAACCGGACUGCACUCCUGUCAGUUGAUGCUUCACCAGAAUCGGGCCACGAGACUCCGGACACUCUGUUUGGUAUUUUUUUUGAGGAGAUCAACCAUGCAGGAGCUGGUGGAUUAUGGGCAGAACUUGUAAGCAAUAGAGGUUUUGAAGCUGGAGGCACCAACACUCCUUCAAACAUCAAUCCGUGGUCCAUAAUUGGGAAUGAAUCUUUCAUAUAUGUGUCAACUGACACCACAUCUUGUUUCGAACGUAAUAAGGUUGCACUUAGGAUGGAUGUACUAUGUGACAGUGAGGGAUCCGUUAUCUGUCCACCUGAUGGUGUUGGCAUAUAUAACCCUGGGUAUUGGGGCAUGAAUAUAGAACAAGGGAAGACCUAUAAAGUGAUAUUGCAUGUUAGAUCAUCUGAAGCAGUUAAUAUUUCUGUCUCACUGACAAGUUCGGAUGGAUUGCAAAAACUGGCUUCUACCAAUAUGCUAGCUGCUGCUUCAGAUGUUUCAAACUGGACUAAGAUGGAGUUUCAAUUGCAAUCUGAAGGAACUAAUAGGAGCUCAAGACUUCAGUUGACAACUACCAACAAAGGUGUUAUUUGGUUUGAUCAAGUGUCAGUGAUGCCCUUGGACACUUACAAGGGACAUGGUUUCCGUAAGGAACUCGCCUCCAUGCUUGCAGACUUGAAACCUCGGUUUAUGAGAUUUCCUGGAGGUACUUUUGUUGAAGGUAUUUGGCUAAGAAAUGCAUUCCGAUGGAAAUCAACAAUUGGACCAUGGGAAGAGAGGCCUGGGCACUUUGGUGAUGUUUGGCAGUACUGGACUGAUGAUGGGCUUGGAUACUUUGAGCUUCUUCAGCUUGCGGAAGAUCUAGGUGCCUCCCCAGUUUGGGUGAUUAACAAUGGAAUUAGUCGCAAUGAUGAAGUUGAUACCAGUGACAUCUUACCUUUUGUUCAGGAAAUUCUUGAUAGUAUUGAGUUUGCUAGAGGAAGUCCUAACUCAACAUGGGGCUCUGCUCGAGCAGCAAUGGGACACACAGAACCUUUUCAAUUGAAUUAUGUUGCAAUUGGAAAUGAAGAUUGUGGACUGAAAUAUUAUCGAGGAAACUACCUCAAGUUUUACUAUGCAAUAAAAGCUGCCUAUCCAGACAUUAAUGUUAUUUCGAAUUGCGAUGGGUCAUCUAGACAAUUGGAUCAUCCUGCUGACUUAUACGACUUUCAUAUUUAUACCUCUGCUAGCAAUAUGUUUUCAUCGAAUAGAAAAUUUGACGGCACAUCACGUACUGGCCCCAAGGCUUUUGUUAGUGAGUAUGCUGUGACUGGGUCAGAUGCUGGCACAGGAAGCCUUUUAGCUGCAUUAGCAGAAGCUGGAUUCCUCAUUGGGUUGGAAAGAAAUAGUGAUGUCGUUGAAAUGGCAAGUUAUGCACCACUUUUUGUGAAUGCCAAUGAUCGCAGAUGGAAAAAGUGCAUCCAAUUGGAACUGGAACAAAAUCCCUGUCCCUUUUCAGAUUCAACUAUGGUGGAACCCAGACGCUAUUGUUUUCAACUCAUGGCAGCAGUAUGGAACUCCUAGCUAUUGGAUGCAACACUUUUUCAAGGAAUCAAGUGGUGCAACCCGUCAUCCUACCACAAUUCAAACCAAUGCCUCCAUUUCAUUGGUUGCUUCUGCAAUUACUUGGCAGAGUUUGGAAGACAACAGCAGUUACUUAAAAAUAAAGAUUGUCAACUUUGGGAAUGAUACUGUGAAUCUUAAUAUCUCUGUGAGUGGAUUACAAAAUGCUCUCAACUCAGGUGGAUCAACAAAAACCAUACUUACAUCCACUAAUUUAAAGGAUGAAAAUUCCUUCACAGAACCAAAUAAGGUGGUGCCAGUACAGACUUCAUUACCUAAUGCAGGAACACAGAUGGAUGUUGCAAUUUCUCCACAUUCUAUCACCUCAUUUGAUUUAUCACUUGCUCAGGCAGAGUACAGAUCUGCAAUAUGAAAUGACAGUAGAGGGGAAAAAAAGGAGAUGAAGAGAGUGAAACGAUUGAAAGAAAAAUAAGGGUUGGCUUUGUAUAUAUAGACUACUUGCAUUGUGCAAGUCAGAGAGCCAACCGAUUAAUUUGGAUCUGUAAUUUAACCUAUAAUUAUAGAUAGCCUUAUGCAAGUCUCCAGUAUAUCAAUCUAUUUUGUGCUUUUUCCUUGUGUACUUUAUUAUUUUUUCCCUUUUCAAAAGUUGAACUAUUGAUUUGGUUUAUUGUCGAUGGAUUGUGUCAAAAUAA
RNA transcript from Phoenix dactylifera (date palm), 2759 nucleotides. It is a transcript of the gene named alpha-L-arabinofuranosidase 1-like, with no coding region annotated. The record is from RefSeq and is a predicted model, not a curated record. Lineage: Eukaryota; Viridiplantae; Streptophyta; Magnoliopsida; Arecales; Arecaceae.